GGAUAGGUGGCGGAAUGGGUAGACGUACCCUCAAAUUGAGGGAGGCAUAUAGCGUGAGAGUCGCGAUGUUAAACGCUUUAUAAGUCCGUGUAGGUUCGAGUCCUGUCCUAUCCA
RNAcentral lists this transfer RNA (114 nucleotides) under Caudoviricetes sp. RNAcentral describes it as "tRNA-OTHER". It matches the Rfam family "tRNA". Rfam says of the family: Transfer RNA (tRNA) molecules are approximately 80 nucleotides in length. Their secondary structure includes four short double-helical elements and three loops (D, anti-codon, and T loops). Lineage: Duplodnaviria; Heunggongvirae; Uroviricota; Caudoviricetes. The record is from RNAcentral.